AGUGAACGCUGGCGGUAGGCCUAAUACAUGCAAGUCGAACGACCGCACAGUAAGCGCUCUCUCUUACGGGUGGCGACUGGCGGACGGGUAAGACAUACAUCGGCAACUACUUUUUCGUGGGGGAUAACGUGGGGCCACAUACGCUACUACCGCAUACGUCCUACGGCUGAGAUCAAGAGUUCUUCACACCUUUCGCGACUCAUUUAGCUGAAUCCGCGUCGGAUUAGCUAGUUGGUAAGGUAACGGCUUACCAAGGCGACGAUGCGUAGCCGAGCUGAGAGGGUGAUCGGCCACACUGGAACUGAGACACGGUCCAGACUCCUACGGGAGGCAGCAGUAGGGAAUAUUGGGCAAUGGGCGCAAGCCUGACGCAGCAACACCGCGUGAGUGAAGAAGGCCUUCGGGUCGUAAAGCUCUUUUGUUGGGAAAGAAAAGAAGUAUAAGUAUAUACGCCCGUUUUGACGGUACCCAAAGAGUAAGCCCCGGCUAACUUCGUG
RNAcentral lists this ribosomal RNA (497 nucleotides) under uncultured bacterium. RNAcentral describes it as "partial 16S ribosomal RNA". It matches the Rfam family "Bacterial small subunit ribosomal RNA", at positions 29 to 507 of the family's 1533-position model. The record is from RNAcentral.